CUGAGAAUGUCCUGUGCGUCCUGCUUGUUGAAGAAAAAUUAUUUGUCUAAUCCGAGGUGAGUGAUCGCUGUCCUGAUAUCCAGAAGCUCUUUGUCUAAUCCGAGGUGAGUGAUCGCUGUCCUGAUAUCCAGAAGAUCUUUGUCUAAUCUGAGGUGAGCGAUCGCUGUCCUGAUAUCCAGAAGAUCUUUGUCUAAUCCGAGGUGAGCGAUCGCUGUCCUGAUAUCCAGAAGCUCUUUGUCUAAUCCGAGGUGAGUGAUCGCUGUCCUGAUAUCCAGAAGAUCUUUGUCUAAUCCGAGGUGAGUGAUCGCUGUCCUGAUAUCCAGAAGAUCUUUGUCUAAUCCGAGGUGAGCGAUCGCUGUCCUGAUAUCCAGAAGAUCUUUGUCUAAUCCGAGGUGAGUGAUCGCUGUCCUGAUAUCCAGAAGCUCUUAGUCUAAUCCAAGGUGAGCGAUCGCUGUCCUGAUAUCCAGAAGCUCUUUU
This is a long non-coding RNA of Oncorhynchus tshawytscha (Chinook salmon), 477 nucleotides long. The record is from Ensembl. NCBI's taxonomy places the organism in Eukaryota, Metazoa, Chordata, Actinopteri, Salmoniformes, Salmonidae.